CAGUCACCGCGGGAAUACGGAGGGUGCAAGCGUUAAUCGGAAUUACUGGGCGUAAAGCGCACGCAGGCGGUCUGACAAGUCAGAUGUGAAAUCCCCGGGCUUAACCUGGGAACUGCAUUUGAAACUGGCAGGCUAGAGUCUUGUAGAGGGGGGUAGAAUUCCAGGUGUAGCGGUGAAAUGCGUAGAGAUCUGGAGGAAUACCGGUGGCGAAGGCGGCCCCCUGGACAAAGACUGACGCUCAGGUGCGAAAGCGUGGGGAGCAAACAGGAUUAGAUACCCCGGUAGUCCCUGUCUCUUAUAC
RNAcentral lists this ribosomal RNA (301 nucleotides) under uncultured bacterium. Its description in RNAcentral is "partial 16S ribosomal RNA". It matches the Rfam family "Bacterial small subunit ribosomal RNA", at positions 509 to 807 of the family's 1533-position model. The record is from RNAcentral.